UUGACUGUGCUGGUUAUUGCCGUCAGGAAGGGACGUAAGGCCUGAAGUACAUCGUAAUAAACAGUAACAAAGUGAAGUGGAAAGUCUCAAAUAUUUAUUUCACGGAAGAAGUUAGUGUAGAAGAAAACAAUGAUCCAGAUUUUACUGGAGCCAGAGGUCAACAAGAUCCCAAAUUCCAUCAAGGAACACAGAGUGAAUUAGCUGGUCUUGGAUUAGUGAGGAGGUAUAUCAUACAAGGUUCCUUUGGUCAUUGGUAUCAGCAAGUUACAACCACUACAGGUCGAGUUUCCUUUAUCCGAAAACCUGAAAACUGGACACAUCCAACAACUGGACACAAAACCGCACUUUUUUUGAAUGUCAUCGACCUUUAGCACAAGAAUUCUGUGACUCAAGUUGACCGCACCCUGUAUUUAUUAUCCAGUGGUACAUCUUACUUUUCUAACCAUUUUAUUUACUUUAGACCAUAACUGCCAGGCUUCAGCUGUUGUAAUGUAAGUAGGCCUAGGCCUAUAUGCGAUAUCCAAAAACUGAAGUUAUCUGAAAUUCAAAACACAAUUGGCCCUGAGGGUUUCGGAUGAAGAAUACUCAACUUGAUAGUAAGUGUGAGAGAUUUGGUGGUGUGCAAUAACUAUAAUGGACAAAUGGCAUCCAAUAACAAAAUAACUGAGCAACUAGUUAUAUGCAUUUGAGAGACAGUAGGCACAAAAUAGCUGUGAGAAACUGGUGACAUACAAUAACGUCAUGAGGUUCAUCUAGCUCUGGAAACUUGAUCUCGCAUGUCCAAGACGUGUUGCUUUUUAAAGUUAAUAAUAUUACUUUUAAGAGGAUUAUUUGCUGGGUACAUACGAAAAGUCUAGACUGGGUCUCUCUGAGAGUAACAGAGCCUGGCACUUUACUGGAUUUGUAAUAUGAUUUUGCCUGCACUCAGACUGCCUGAUGUUCAAGUAUGUAAUAAAACAUUGGAGGAGUG
Molecule: long non-coding RNA, 970 nt
Organism: Carcharodon carcharias (great white shark)
Lineage: Eukaryota; Metazoa; Chordata; Chondrichthyes; Lamniformes; Lamnidae
Exons: 2
Source: RefSeq, a predicted model, not a curated record